GAAUUGUUCGCAAUGGGCGCAAGCCUGACGACGCAACGCCGCGUGGAGGAUGAAGGUCUUCGGAUUGUAAACCCCUGUUGCCCGGGACGAAUGGCUCCAACCUAAUACGUUGGAGCGUGACGGUACCGGGUGAGGAAGCCCCGGCUCACUCUGUCCCAGCCGCAGCGGUAAUACAGAGGGGGCAAGCGUUGUUCGGAAUUACUGGGCGUAAAGGGUGCGUAGGCGGCCUUCUAAGUCGAACGUGAAAUCCCCGGGCUCAACCCGGGAACUGCGUCCGAGACUGGAAGGCUCGAAUCCGGGAGAGGGAUGUGGAAUUCCAGGUGUAGCGGUGAAAUGCGUAGAUAUCUGGAGGAACAUCGGUGGCGAAGGCGGCAUCCUGGACCGGUAUUGACGCUGAGGCGCGAAAGCCAGGGGAGCAAACGGG
Molecule: ribosomal RNA, 424 nt
Filed under: uncultured bacterium
Lineage: Bacteria
Description: bacterial SSU rRNA
Rfam family: Bacterial small subunit ribosomal RNA
Source: RNAcentral